This 87-nucleotide non-coding RNA is filed under the name Xylanimonas cellulosilytica. RNAcentral's name for it is "SAM-I sequence". It matches the Rfam family "SAM riboswitch aptamer (S box leader)". Rfam says of the family: The SAM riboswitch is found upstream of a number of genes which code for proteins involved in methionine or cysteine biosynthesis in Gram-positive bacteria. The SAM riboswitch acts at the level of transcription termination control. The predicted structure consists of a complex stem-loop region followed by a single stem loop terminator region. Lineage: Bacteria; Bacillati; Actinomycetota; Actinomycetes; Micrococcales; Promicromonosporaceae. The record is from RNAcentral. RNAcentral also lists the same sequence under 1 other name.
CGACCAUCCCGAGCGGCCGAGUGACGUGGCACGUCGACGCCGCAGCAACCCUGUGCCGCAGGGUGCUCCCGCCACGACCGAUGGAGG